Molecule: long non-coding RNA, 1455 nt
Filed under: Salvator merianae (Argentine black and white tegu)
Lineage: Eukaryota; Metazoa; Chordata; Lepidosauria; Squamata; Teiidae
Description: lncRNA (ENSSMRG00000014573.1)
Source: RNAcentral
GAAAUAAUUCCAAAGAGGCUGCUCCACAGGACAUAUACCAGCAACCUACCCAUUACUUCAAUCAUGACCAGCUAGAGCUACAGAAGAAAAAUACUCGUGAAAAAAUAGAGGAGCUCUUGGAAAAAUCACAACUACUGGCAAACACACAACCUAUGCAUCCUUGCUUCUUUUCACCUAUCAAAAAGGUUGGGGAGGAACAACCACAGAGACAACUUACAACUAACCUGGAUGAGAGUAUUGAUCAAGGAAGCACAGAUGAAAAUUUAAGCUAUUGGGAAAUGAGAUCACCCCCUNCAGCGAAGCUGUAUAGCACAAGCAAUCAGGAAUCCAACUUGGCUAGUCUUCAUGAAUGGAAAGAAAAAGAUUAUCCUUCUGAUCACCGUUUUUUUGAAGAAAUGGGAAAUUCUGCAAAAGAUCAGGAUAUUAUUAUACAUCCUAGACUGAAAAUACAGUUGUCAAGUAAAGAAGUUUGUUCUUGUUCUUCCAGCAGAAAUAAAAAAAUACAGUAUGAAAAAACAACCAGAGGAAAAUCAAAGUGUGAAAGAUUCUCAAUCUUCUUAGAUGGAAAAGCAGCAGAUUUAGAUUCAUCAGGUAGUGAUACAGAAGACCCUUUAUUCUGUGACACCCUAGAAGAUUCAAGAUGUGAAGCAAGUCUGGAACACAGCAUUAAAAGUCAUGGAUCGUGCAAAGUGCAUCCAAAAGAGCACCAUAAAGCUUCUUUGCAAAAGAAAAGCAUUGCCCUCCAAAGGAUUUAUAAAAAAUCUCAACCAGAACUGUUUAUUGACAGACUGUGCGACAGACAAAAUCUACAAGUUCCCCAAACUCGCUACUCAAGGAUGUAUGAUACCAUUAUCCUUUCACCACAGUAUCUUGGGAGUGGGAAAUCUUUUGCAAGGAGGUCAUUGAUUAAUUCAAGAGGAAGGCACAAUGAAGACACAAAUUCAGCGGUAUUCAAUAAAAUGUUCCACAAAUUAAUAGAAACUUACAGAUCUCAGACUGAAGAAUUUUUGCAUAAAAUGAAAUAACCAAAAGUAAGCAUUUUUCUUACCAAUAUGACUAUGUCAAUUUUAUUUCUUUCCAGACACUAGAUUCCACAUUGGAUCAUGUUGUACAGGCUGCAAAUGACUUGAAGAAAACUACAGAGCACAUGAUGCAAGCUGUUUCAGAAGAUUUAGCCAGGGCUAAAAUUCAGACCCUUUCUAGUCUAGCAGCUAGCCAAUAUAAGUCUGAAUGUCUCUUAUGGAAACCACACUAUAUGUGAGAGACCAGACAAUAUAUAAAGAACAGAAGUGUAUAAUUUCUCAUAAAAAUUAGAUUUACUACAUGAAAAAUUAGAGAGUUAUCUAUGCCUUUUGGUGUUGCUGUAGCAAAGUUUUCUAGAAACUAACUGCUUUUAAUUAGCCUGGGUAUUAUUUUAAUUAGCCUGUUUUGUUCACAAAUUGACUAUAACCUCUG